Molecule: ribosomal RNA, 776 nt
Filed under: uncultured Neocallimastigales
Lineage: Eukaryota; Fungi; Neocallimastigomycota; Neocallimastigomycetes; Neocallimastigales
Description: partial large subunit ribosomal RNA
Rfam family: Eukaryotic large subunit ribosomal RNA
Source: RNAcentral
CUAUACAUGACUCUGCGCAUAUCAAUAAGCGGAGGAAAAGAAACUAACAAGGAUUCCCUCAGUAACGGCGAGUGAAGCGGGAAGAGCUCAAAUUUGAAAUCUUCAAGGUUCUACCUUGACGAAUUGUAGUUUAAAGAAGUGUUUUCUGUUGGAGUUUUGGUAAAAGUUCUUUGGAAUAGGACAUCAUAGAGGGUGAGAAUCCCGUAUUUGACCAUUAUUUCCAGCUGUGUGAUACACUUUCAAAGAGUCGGAUUGUUUGGGAAUGCAGUCCAAAAUGGGUGGUAAAUUUCAUCUAAAGCUAAAUACUGGCGAGAGACCGAUAGCGAACAAGUACCGUGAGGGAAAGAUGAAAAGAACUUUGAAAAGAGAGUUAAACAGUACGUGAAAUUGUCAAAAGGGAAGCGUUUGACACCAGUGUUGUUUUCUCGAAAAUCAAUUAAAAAUGCAUGGGAUUUUGUGUUGUAUUGACUUUAUCAGCUUUCUGCACUUUUUUCUUAUCUUUUUUAAUGCACUUUUCGUUUAACAAGUCAACAUCAAUUUCUUUUGCUGUAAAAGGGUCAUUGGAAGGUGGCUUUCUUUUCGGAGAAAGUGUUUAUAGCCUUUACCUUCUGCAAGUCGGAGAGAUUGAGGUCUGCAGCGUAGAUCCUUCGGGGUUAGAUGCAUUUGUGCUAAGUUAUAGCCUUUCAUAGACAACUUGUUGACUAUGAUCAGUCAUGUAGCUUACUCGCUUAUGUCAUUUUACCUACGCUUAGGAUGUUGAUAGUCACAGCGUGUAC